This 923-nucleotide ribosomal RNA is filed under the name uncultured marine archaeon. Its description in RNAcentral is "bacterial SSU rRNA". It matches the Rfam family "Archaeal small subunit ribosomal RNA", at positions 20 to 918 of the family's 1478-position model. The record is from RNAcentral.
GACCCGACUGCUAUCGGAAUAGGACUAAGCCAUGCGAGUUGAACGCUUCUUGACCAUGCGAGAAACGUAGCACACGGCUCAGUAACACGUAGUCAACCUGCCCUGAGGACGCGGAUAACCCCGGGAAACUGGGACUAAGCCGCGAUAGGCCACGACACCUGGAAUGGGUAGUGGCUCAAAAGGGAAGAUGGGCAUGUUUAUCCUCACGCCUCAGGAUGGGACUGCGGCCGAUCAGGCUGUUGGCGGGGUAAAGGCCCACCAAACCUGUAACCGGUACGGGCUUUGAGAGAAGUAGCCCGGAGAUGGACACUGGGACAAGGGUCCAGGCCCUACGGGGCGCAGCAGGCGCGAAAACUUCGCAAUGCGCGAAAGCGCGACGAGGCUAUUCCGAGUGCCGUCCGCUGAGGAUGGCUUUUACUAGGUCUAAAUAGCCUAGGGAAUAAGGGGAGGGCAAGCCUGGUGUCAGCCGCCGCGGUAAUACCAGCUCCUCGAGUGGUCGGGGUGAUUAUUGGGCCUAAAGCAUCCGUAGCCGGCUCUGUAGGUCCUCUGUUAAAUUCAGCGGCUCAACCGUUGAGCUGCAGGGGAUACCGCAAGGCUAGGAGGCGGGAGAGGCGGACGGUAUUCCGCGGGUAGGGGUAAAAUCCUUUGAUCCGCGGAGGACCACCAGUGGCGAAGGCGGUCCGCCAGAACGCGCUCGACGGUGAGGGAUGAGAGCUGGGGGAGCGAACCGGAUUAGAUACCCGGGUAGUCCCAGCCGUAAACGAUGCAAGCUAGGUGACGGAAUGGCUGUGAGCUAUUCCGGUGCCGCAGGGAAGCCGUUAAGCUUGCCGCCUGGGGAGUACGGUCGCAAGACUGAAACUUAAAGGAAUUGGCGGGGGGAGCACCACAAGGGGUGAAGCCUGCGGUUCAAUUGGAUUCAACGC